ACUUUCUUGGCCUACCCUUAACCCGAUCCCUCGGCAAAAAGAGCCUAUUACUAAUUACUGGCUUACUAUCCCUAGCCUCCCCUAGCAAUUAAUAGUGCAUUAUAGAGCAGAAGUGAAAAACAAUUGAUCGUCCUACCCCUAUCCCUAGGUGGUAUUGCUUAAUCAAGGAAUUACUCACCAGUUCAUGACAUUACUGUACGUCCCCGUAUCAAUAAAGACAAACAACAGUUAUCGAAUGAGCUAAACG
RNAcentral lists this long non-coding RNA (247 nucleotides) under Vigna radiata. RNAcentral's name for it is "long non-coding RNA (VRAD_LNC004853)". Lineage: Eukaryota; Viridiplantae; Streptophyta; Magnoliopsida; Fabales; Fabaceae. The record is from RNAcentral.